This 352-nucleotide ribosomal RNA is filed under the name uncultured Oscillospiraceae bacterium. Its description in RNAcentral is "bacterial SSU rRNA". It matches the Rfam family "Bacterial small subunit ribosomal RNA", at positions 1 to 339 of the family's 1533-position model. The record is from RNAcentral. Lineage: Bacteria; Bacillati; Bacillota; Clostridia; Eubacteriales; Oscillospiraceae.
AGUAGUUUGAUCCGUGGCUCAGGACGAACGCUGGCGGCGUGCCUAACACAUGCAAGUCGAACGAGAAAUUCAUUUGUGAUCCCUUCGGGGUGAACUGUUGAAUGGAAAGUGGCGGACGGGCGAGUAACGCGUGAGUAACCUGCCCAUAAGAGGGGGAUAAUCCUUGGAAACGAGGACUAAUACCGCAUAUUGAAUAGCUUUCGCAUGUUAGCUAUUUGAAAGCUUUAGCGCUUAUGGAUGGACUCGCGUCAGAUUAGCUGGUUGGUGGGGUAACGGCCUACCAAGGCGACGAUCGGUAGCCGGUCUGAGAGGAUGAACGGCCACAUUGGGACUGAGACACGGCCCAGACUCC